AUGAACGCUGGCGGCGUGCCUAAUACAUGCAAGUCGAGCGAACAGACGAGGAGCUUGCUCCUCUGACGUUAGCGGCGGACGGGUGAGUAACACGUGGAUAACCUACCUAUAAGACUGGGAUAACUUCGGGAAACCGGAGCUAAUACCGGAUAAUAUAUUGAACCGCAUGGUUUAAUAGUGAAAGACGGCUUUGCUGUCACUUAUAGAUGGAUCCGCGCCGCAUUAGCUAGUUGGUAAGGUAACGGCUUACCAAGGCAACGAUGCGUAGCCGACCUGAGAGGAUGAUCGGCCACACUGGAACUGAGACACGGUCCAGACUCCUACGGGAGGCAGCAGUGGGGAAUAUUGCGCAAUGGGCGAAAGCCAGACCCAGCAACACCGCGUGAGUGAUGAAGGUCUUCGGAUCGUAAAACUCUGUUAUUAGGGAAGAACAAAUGUGUAAGUAAAUAUGCACGUCUUGACGGUACCUAAUCAGAAAGCCACGGCUAACUACGUG
RNAcentral lists this ribosomal RNA (496 nucleotides) under uncultured bacterium. Its description in RNAcentral is "partial 16S ribosomal RNA". It matches the Rfam family "Bacterial small subunit ribosomal RNA", at positions 29 to 507 of the family's 1533-position model. The record is from RNAcentral.